This 331-nucleotide unclassified non-coding RNA is filed under the name fungal sp. Its description in RNAcentral is "partial internal transcribed spacer region". The stretch from base 1 to 46 matches the Rfam family "Eukaryotic small subunit ribosomal RNA", at positions 1786 to 1831 of the family's 1831-position model. Lineage: Eukaryota; Fungi. The record is from RNAcentral.
AAGUCGUAACAAGGUAACCGUAGGUGAACCUGCGGUUGGAUCAUUAAAAAGAUCUAGUCUGAAUUUGCAUUUGGUUACCUCGGUGACCCUGUGCAAUGCCAGGCAAUCUCACCUUACAAGUGAGUCAACAUUCUGUGAACUGUUUUGUCUCUGGCGGUUGGAUGGCUCAAAACCAUCUGUCAGCAUCCUCAGGAUCUACGAUUCUCAGUGUGCCGUGGACAAGCCGUCAACAGUGUAUGUUUCAUACAAACUUUUGUUUCUUCAUAACUGUCUGACAUACCUUUGUAUUAAAAUACAAAAACAACUUUUGGCAACGGAUCUCUUGGCUCCC